CAAACACCCGAACUGCAUACAAGGGAAUGCUCCAAACACCCGAACGGCAUAGAAGGGAAUAAGGUAGCACUCCAAAUACACGAACAGGAACCAUACGAAUUGCUGCUACCAGACGAACAGGAAAAGCUCCCAAGCGGCUUACACACCUGGCAAUCAGUCCUUAGCAGCAUACAGUAAAUCCCCCCAAAGACGAGACAAGGCUCCGUGUUGAGGGUCAAGCAGUGGUCUGUUUAAUGAGGGCUACCUGCCCAGUAUUUAUGAAGGUCUCCAACCUGGUGGACACUCCCCUAGGGGACCAAAUGGGAGACUGUGACAAAAGACAGACAAG
Molecule: non-coding RNA, 328 nt
Organism: Pelobates cultripes (western spadefoot toad)
Lineage: Eukaryota; Metazoa; Chordata; Amphibia; Anura; Pelobatidae
Source: the annotation of a GenBank genome assembly